RNAcentral lists this long non-coding RNA (1487 nucleotides) under Strigops habroptila (Kakapo). RNAcentral describes it as "lncRNA (ENSSHBG00005016202.1)". Lineage: Eukaryota; Metazoa; Chordata; Aves; Psittaciformes; Psittacidae. The record is from RNAcentral.
UAAUCUUUUAAAUAUUAAACCACUGAACUUCCUUGGCUGAUGGGACAAGCCAAGCACUUGGGAAAGCACAUCACCAGUGUAUACCCCUGCUAGCAAACAAUCCACUGGAGCUUUGUUAUAAAACAUGCAAACAUCCUGAGGAAGUGCCAGUAAUUUGCAAUAAACACUGUGUGUAAACAAUUACCUGUGACUUGUUACACUUGUUUGUACAGGCAGCUGGCUAAACAGAUCUGUGGGCACUUGUAAACGUCUGUGCCCUUCAAACUUGAUCCUGGAAAACAAUUACUGAGUAUUUGAUUUCUGAAGUAAGAAGUUAAAUCUUUUGUACCUCACAGCUGGCAAGGACUAAGUGUGGGUGCUCAUAGAGACAUGUACAAAAGCUGGAGAAGUAAAACGUGAUGGUGGCGUUUUUAUGAGAACGGUGAAGACACUUUCAUGUCUUGUCACCAGACUAAAGGAAGGUUUUCGUGACAAGGUACUUGAUGAAAAACUGGUUUUACUGGUUGAAGGGUCCUGUGGUGGCAGAGAGCUGAAAGCGGUUUGGUCACGCAAGGUCCAAGGAAGGGGCAAGGGUGAUUUAUUUUCUAGAGGUUUAACAAGAUGGAUGUAAGGAUUUGCUAGAGCAGUUAGGCGUGAUGAGCCCUCUCCCUUCGGACCCUGAAGCGUUGAUGCUGCUCGGUGAGGGAAGCCGGGGAGCGCAGGAUUUGCCACUCAUGCCACAGCCUGUAACCGACCGGGUCACCCCGCCCGAUCCUCACGCAGGGCAACCUGAAUCGCGGCGGCACCUCCGGGCUCCGGCUCCAGGUGCUGCCGCCGGGGCCUCGCUGCUGCCGGACCCCCAGGGAGGAGCAGGAGGCGCGGCCGCUGCCCUCCCGCUUCUCAGGGCACCGCGGCUCCCGUUGUGUGCCCCCUCCCGCUCCCCGCGGGGUGCGGCUCCCGUUGUCCCGCCGCGGGGGGAAGCCCAGGGCAGGGUCCCCGGGGCCGCGCAAGCUGAGGGAGCCGGGGCCGGGCCCCUCGGGUCCUGUCAGCGCCGGCCGCGCGCGCGCAGUGCGCGGGGCGGGGGAGGGGCGCGCAGGCGCAGGGCGCGCGCAGGCGGCGGGCGGGCCCGCGCGAGGGAGCCGCCGAGGGGGGUCUGCGCGCCCGGUGCAGCCGCCGACCCGCGGGGUCCGUGAGGGACCCUCCGGGGCGCGCAGCCCGCCCGGUGCCGGCCUCCGUAUGGGAGUGCGGAGGGCUCCGGUGCCGGCAGCGCGCUCGUCCCGAGGCAGGCGGCACACAAAGGACCGCGGUGUCCGCCCAUCUCGGCACACGCCCCCCUGCCAAACAAAAAAUAACCACCCGAAAGAGCCCAACACCCCCACCACCGCCGGGGCUGUGCCGGGAGCGGGCGGGGGAAGCAAUACACGGCCGGCGAGAAGACGGGCAGCACGGAGAGACCGGGGAAUCGCAACCGGGCGGCGGGGCCCGGUAUUGUUUCGGCACCCGACAAC